AUUUAAGUAGUUUAAUAAAAAUAAGGAGUUGUGAUUUUCUAGAUAAGUUUGUUUCUUAAAUU
RNAcentral lists this transfer RNA (62 nucleotides) under Seasogonia rosea. Its description in RNAcentral is "tRNA-His". Lineage: Eukaryota; Metazoa; Arthropoda; Insecta; Hemiptera; Cicadellidae. The record is from RNAcentral.